GGGCGGGACACGUGGUAUCCUGUCUGAAUAUGGGGGGACCAUCCUCCAAGGCUAAAUACUCCUGACUGACCGAUAGUGAACCAGUACCGUGAGGGAAAGGCGAAAAGAACCCCGGCGAGGGGAGUGAAACAGAACCUGAAACCGUGUACGUACAAGCAGUGGGAGCCCCACCACUAAGCCAGUGGUGAACUCCACAUACGCAUCCUUUGCUGAGGAUACGGUUAACGGAGCGAAAGCGACGUUCAGCCGCAAAAGAAGCAGAGGGGGCUUAGUGGUGGGGUGACUGCGUACCUUUUGUAUAAUGGGUCAGCGACUUAUAUUCUGUAGCAAGGUUAACCGCAUAGGGGAGCCGGAGGGAAACCGAGUCUUAAUUGGGCGUUAAGUUGCAGGGUAUAGACCCGAAACCCGGUGAUCUAGCCAUGGGCAGGUUGAAGGUUGGGUAACACUAACUGGAGGACCGAACCGACUAAUGUUGAAAAAUUAGCGGAUGACCUGUGGCUGGGGGUGAAAGGCCAAUCAAACCGGGAGAUAGCUGGUUCUCCCCGAAAGCUAUUUAGGUAGCGCCUCGUGAAUUCAUCUCCGGGGGUAGAGCACUGUUUCGGCCAGGGGGCCAUCCCGGCUUACCAAUCCGAUGCAAACUGCGAAUACCGGAGAAUGUUAUCACGGGAGACACACGGCGGGUGCUAACGUCCGUCGUGAAGAGGGAAACAACCCAGACCGCCAGCUAAGGUCCCAAAGUCAUGGUUAAGUGGGAAACGAUGUGGGAAGGCCCAGACAGCCAGGAUGUUGGCUUAGAAGCAGCCAUCAUUUAAAGAAAGCGUAAUAGCUCACUGGUCGAGUCGGCCUGCGCGGAAGAUGUAACGGGGCUAAACCAUGCACCGAAGCUGCGGCAGCGAACGUAUCACCCAAGACAACUUUACACAGUUGACGACUGACGGAGCGAAGCGACGUCAAAGCGUUUUACAACGUCGAGUUGGCUUAGGGAUACGUUCGUUGGGUAGGGGAGCGUUCUGUAAGCCGUUGAAGGUGUGUCGUGAGGCAUGCUGGAGGUAUCAGAAGUGCGAAUGCUGACAUAAGUAACGAUAAAGCGGGUGAAAAGCCCGCUCGCCGGAAGACCAAGGGUUCCUGUCCAACGUUAAUCGGGGCAGGGUGAGUCGACCCCUAAGGCGAGGCCGAAAGGCGUAGUCGAUGGGAAACGGGUUAAUAUUCCCGUACUUGGUGUUACUGCGAAGGGGGGACGGAGAAGGCUAUGUUGGCCGGGCGACGGUUGUCCCGGUUUAAGCGUGCAGGUGUGUGUUCCAGGUAAAUCCGGUUCACUUUAACACUGAGGCGUGAUGACGAGGCACCACGGUGCUGAAGCAACAAAUGCCCUGCUUCCAGGAAAAGCCUCUAAGCCUCAGGUAACAUCAAAUCGUACCCCAAACCGACACAGGUGGUCAGGUAGAGAAUACCAAGGCGCUUGAGAGAACUCGGGUGAAGGAACUAGGCAAAAUGGUGCCGUAACUUCGGGAGAAGGCACGCUGACACGUAGGUGAAGUGGUUUACCCAUGGAGCUGAAGUCAGUCGAAGAUACCAGCUGGCUGCAACUGUUUAUUAAAAACACAGCACUGUGCAAACACGAAAGUGGACGUAUACGGUGUGACGCCUGCCCGGUGCCGGAAGGUUAAUUGAUGGGGUCAGCGCAAGCGAAGCUCCUGAUCGAAGCCCCGGUAAACGGCGGCCGUAACUAUAACGGUCCUAAGGUAGCGAAAUUCCUUGUCGGGUAAGUUCCGACCUGCACGAAUGGCGUAAUGAUGGCCAGGCUGUCUCCACCCGGGACUCAGUGAAAUUGAACUCGCUGUGAAGAUGCAGUGUACCCGCGGCAAGACGGAAAGACCCCGUGAACCUUUACUAUAGCUUGACACUGAACACUGGUCCUUGAUGUGCAGGAUAGGUGGGAGGCUUUGAAGUGUGGACGCCAGUCUGCAUGGAGCCAUCCUUGAAAUACCACCCUUUAAUGGCUGGUGUUCUAACGUGGGCCCGUGAACCGGGUUGCGGACAGUGUCUGGUGGGUAGUUUGACUGGGGCGGUCUCCUCCUAAAGAGUAACGGAGGAGCACGAAGGUUGGCUAAUCCUGGUCGGACAUCAGGAGGUUAGUGCAAUGGCAUAAGCCAGCUUGACUGCGAGCGUGACGGCGCGAGCAGGUGCGAAAGCAGGUCAUAGUGAUCCGGUGGUUCUGAAUGGAAGGGCCAUCGCUCAACGGAUAAAAGGUACUCCGGGGAUAACAGGCUGAUACCGCCCAAGAGUUCAUAUCGACGGCGGUGUUUGGCACCUCGAUGUCGGCUCAUCACAUCCUGGGGCUGAAGUAGGUCCCAAGGGUAUGGCUGUUCGCCAUUUAAAGUGGUACGCGAGCUGGGUUUAGAACGUCGUGAGACAGUUCGGUCCCUAUCUGCCGUGGGCGCUGGAAGAUUGAGGGGGGCUGCUCCUAGUACGAGAGGACCGGAGUGGACGCAUCACUGGUGUUCGGGUUGUCAUGCCAAUGGCACUGCCCGGUAGCUACAUGCGGAAGAGAUAAGUGCUGAAAGCAUCUAAGCACGAAACUUGCCCCGAGAUGAAUCUUCCCUGAGCCUUUAAGGCUCCUGAAGGAACGUUGAAGACGACGACGUUGAUAGGCCGGGUGUGUAAGCGCAGCGAUGCGUUGAGCUAACCGGUACUAAUGAACCGUGAGGCUUAACCUUACAAC
Molecule: ribosomal RNA, 2722 nt
Filed under: Salmonella enterica subsp. houtenae
Lineage: Bacteria; Pseudomonadati; Pseudomonadota; Gammaproteobacteria; Enterobacterales; Enterobacteriaceae
Description: partial 23S ribosomal RNA
Rfam family: Bacterial large subunit ribosomal RNA
Source: RNAcentral